This 295-nucleotide ribosomal RNA is filed under the name uncultured bacterium. Its description in RNAcentral is "partial 16S ribosomal RNA". It matches the Rfam family "Bacterial small subunit ribosomal RNA", at positions 30 to 325 of the family's 1533-position model. The record is from RNAcentral.
AUUGAACGCUGGCGGCAUGCCUUACACAUGCAAGUCGAACGGCAGCGCGGGGCAACCUGGCGGCGAGUGGCGAACGGGUGAGUAACAUAUCGGAACAUACCCUAGAGUGGGGGAUAACGUAGCGAAAGUUACGCUAAUACCGCAUACGCACUAAGGUGGAAAGUGGGGGAUUCGCAAGAACCUCAUGCUCAUGGAGUGGCCGAUAUCUGAUUAGCUAGUUGGUGAGGUAAAGGCUCACCAAGGCGACGAUCAGUAGCUGGUUUGAGAGAACGACCAGCCACACUGGAACUGAGAC